Molecule: ribosomal RNA, 485 nt
Filed under: Amanita sp. 'penetrans'
Lineage: Eukaryota; Fungi; Basidiomycota; Agaricomycetes; Agaricales; Amanitaceae
Description: partial 28S ribosomal RNA
Rfam family: Eukaryotic large subunit ribosomal RNA
Source: RNAcentral
UCUGACCUCAAAUCAGGUAGGAAUACCCGCUGAACUUAAGCAUAUCAAUAAGCGGAGGAAAAGAAACUAACAAGGAUUCCCGUAGUAACUGCGAGUGAAGUGGGAAAAGCUCAAAUUUGAAAUCUGGCAGUCUGAUUUUUCAUCUUGGCUGUCCGAAUUGUAAUCUAGAGAAGUGCUACCUGUACUGGACCGUGUAUAAGUCUCCUGGGAUGGAGCAUCAUAGAGGGUGAGAAUCCCGUCUUUGACAUGGACUCCCAGUGCGUUGUGGUAUACUUUCAAAGAGUCGAGUUGUUUGGGAAUGCAGCUCUAAAUGGGUGGUAAACUCCAUCUAAAGCUAAAUAUUGGCGAGAGACCGAUAGCGAACAAGUACCGUGAGGGAAAGAUGAAAAGUACUUUGGAAAGAGAGUUAAACAGUAUGUGAAAUUGUUGAAAGGGAAACACUUGAUGUCAGUUGUGUUAGCUAGGAUUCAACCUGGCUUUUUCUA